This 364-nucleotide unclassified non-coding RNA is filed under the name uncultured bacterium. RNAcentral's name for it is "contains 16S-23S intergenic spacer region". The record is from RNAcentral.
UCCCGGUUGGCCCGGGCAGUCUCGCCUGAAAAAUUCAACAGACGACAAGGGUUGCGCUCGUUGCUGGACUUAACCAAACAUCUCACGACACGAGCUGACGACGGCCAUGCAGCACCUGUCACCAGGUUCCCGAAGGCACUCCACUGUUUCCAGCGGAUUCCUGGGAUGUCAAGCCUUGGUAAGGUUCUUCGCGUAUCUUCGAAUUAAACCACAUGUUCCACCGCUUGUGCGGGUCCCCGUCAAUUCCUUUGAGUUUUAAGCUUGCGCUCGUACUCCCCAGGCGGCACACUUAACGCGUUAGCUUCUCAGCGCAGGGGGUCGAUACCCCACACUAAUAGUGUGCAUUGUUUACGGCGUGGACUAC